Molecule: long non-coding RNA, 203 nt
Filed under: Elaeis guineensis (African oil palm)
Lineage: Eukaryota; Viridiplantae; Streptophyta; Magnoliopsida; Arecales; Arecaceae
Description: long non-coding RNA (EGUI_LNC046817)
Source: RNAcentral
CAGGAGGCUCAUCGGUCAUGGCAUUACCGCCUAGGCCACAUGAGUGAUCGUGGGAUGAAGGAGCUGAGGAAUCAUGGUCUAAUUCUAGAUUUGGAUAGAGGUAUUUCAGAUAUAUGUGAGCCAUACCAGAUAGAAAAAUAAAGGAGAGUGCAGUUUGCCAGCAGUUGAGCCCGUUGUGCAGCCCCACUGGAACUAGUUUACAC